RNAcentral lists this ribosomal RNA (3027 nucleotides) under Salmonella enterica subsp. enterica serovar Enteritidis. Its description in RNAcentral is "23S ribosomal RNA". It matches the Rfam family "Bacterial large subunit ribosomal RNA". Lineage: Bacteria; Pseudomonadati; Pseudomonadota; Gammaproteobacteria; Enterobacterales; Enterobacteriaceae. The record is from RNAcentral.
GGGUUGUGAGGUUAAGCGACUAAGCGUACACGGUGGAUGCCCUGGCAGUCAGAGGCGAUGAAGGGCGUGCUAAUCUGCGAUAAGCGCCGGUAAGGUGAUAUGAACCGUUAUAACCGGCGAUACCCGAAUGGGGAAACCCAGUGUGACUCGUCACACUAUCAUUAACUGAAUCCAUAGGUUAAUGAGGCGAACCGGGGGAACUGAAACAUCUAAGUACCCCGAGGAAAAGAAAUCAACCGAGAUUCCCCCAGUAGCGGCGAGCGAACGGGGAGGAGCCCAGAGCCUGAAUCAGCAUGUGUGUUAGUGGAAGCGUCUGGAAAGGCGCGCGAUACAGGGUGACAGCCCCGUACACAAAAGCGCAUGUGUUGUGAGCUCGAUGAGUAGGGCGGGACACGUGGUAUCCUGUCUGAAUAUGGGGGGACCAUCCUCCAAGGCUAAAUACUCCUGACUGACCGAUAGUGAACCAGUACCGUGAGGGAAAGGCGAAAAGAACCCCGGCGAGGGGAGUGAAAAAGAACCUGAAACCGUGUACGUACAAGCAGUGGGAGCCCCACCACUAAGCCAGUGGUGAACUCCACAUACGCAUCCUUUGCUGAGGAUACGGUUAACGGAGCGAAAGCGACGUUCAACCUCAAAAGAAGCAGAGGGGGCUUAGUGGUGGGGUGACUGCGUACCUUUUGUAUAAUGGGUCAGCGACUUAUAUUCUGUAGCAAGGUUAACCGCAUAGGGGAGCCGGAGGGAAACCGAGUCUUAACCGGGCGUUAAGUUGCAGGGUAUAGACCCGAAACCCGGUGAUCUAGCCAUGGGCAGGUUGAAGGUUGGGUAACACUAACUGGAGGACCGAACCGACUAAUGUUGAAAAAUUAGCGGAUGACCUGUGGCUGGGGGUGAAAGGCCAAUCAAACCGGGAGAUAGCUGGUUCUCCCCGAAAGCUAUUUAGGUAGCGCCUCGUGAAUUCAUCUCCGGGGGUAGAGCACUGUUUCGGCUAGGGGGCCAUCCCGGCUUACCAACCCGAUGCAAACUGCGAAUACCGGAGAAUGUUAUCACGGGAGACACACGGCGGGUGCUAACGUCCGUCGUGAAGAGGGAAACAACCCAGACCGCCAGCUAAGGUCCCAAAGUCAUGGUUAAGUGGGAAACGAUGUGGGAAGGCCCAGACAGCCAGGAUGUUGGCUUAGAAGCAGCCAUCAUUUAAAGAAAGCGUAAUAGCUCACUGGUCGAGUCGGCCUGCGCGGAAGAUGUAACGGGGCUAAACCAUGCACCGAAGCUGCGGCAGCGACACUGUGUGUUGUUGGGUAGGGGAGCGUUCUGUAAGCCUGUGAAGGUGUGUCGUGAGGCAUGCUGGAGGUAUCAGAAGUGCGAAUGCUGACAUAAGUAACGAUAAAGCGGGUGAAAAGCCCGCUCGCCGGAAGACCAAGGGUUCCUGUCCAACGUUAAUCGGGGCAGGGUGAGUCGACCCCUAAGGCGAGGCCGAAAGGCGUAGUCGAUGGGAAACGGGUUAAUAUUCCCGUACUUGGUGUUACUGCGAAGGGGGGACGGAGAAGGCUAUGUUGGCCGGGCGACGGUUGUCCCGGUUUAAGCGUGUAGGUGUGUGUUCCAGGUAAAUCCGGUUCACUUUAACACUGAGGCGUGAUGACGAGGCACUACGGUGCUGAAGUAACAAAUGCCCUGCUUCCAGGAAAAGCCUCUAAGCAUCAGGUAACAUCAAAUCGUACCCCAAACCGACACAGGUGGUCAGGUAGAGAAUACCAAGGCGCUUGAGAGAACUCGGGUGAAGGAACUAGGCAAAAUGGUGCCGUAACUUCGGGAGAAGGCACGCUGACACGUAGGUGAAGUGAUUUACUCACGGAGCUGAAGUCAGUCGAAGAUACCAGCUGGCUGCAACUGUUUAUUAAAAACACAGCACUGUGCAAACACGAAAGUGGACGUAUACGGUGUGACGCCUGCCCGGUGCCGGAAGGUUAAUUGAUGGGGUCAGCGCAAGCGAAGCUCCUGAUCGAAGCCCCGGUAAACGGCGGCCGUAACUAUAACGGUCCUAAGGUAGCGAAAUUCCUUGUCGGGUAAGUUCCGACCUGCACGAAUGGCGUAAUGAUGGCCAGGCUGUCUCCACCCGAGACUCAGUGAAAUUGAACUCGCUGUGAAGAUGCAGUGUACCCGCGGCAAGACGGAAAGACCCCGUGAACCUUUACUAUAGCUUGACACUGAACAUUGAGCCUUGAUGUGUAGGAUAGGUGGGAGGCUUUGAAGUGUGGACGCCAGUCUGCAUGGAGCCGACCUUGAAAUACCACCCUUUAAUGUUUGAUGUUCUAACGUGGACCCGUGAUCCGGGUUGCGGACAGUGUCUGGUGGGUAGUUUGACUGGGGCGGUCUCCUCCUAAAGAGUAACGGAGGAGCACGAAGGUUGGCUAAUCCUGGUCGGACAUCAGGAGGUUAGUGCAAUGGCAUAAGCCAGCUUGACUGCGAGCGUGACGGCGCGAGCAGGUGCGAAAGCAGGUCAUAGUGAUCCGGUGGUUCUGAAUGGAAGGGCCAUCGCUCAACGGAUAAAAGGUACUCCGGGGAUAACAGGCUGAUACCGCCCAAGAGUUCAUAUCGACGGCGGUGUUUGGCACCUCGAUGUCGGCUCAUCACAUCCUGGGGCUGAAGUAGGUCCCAAGGGUAUGGCUGUUCGCCAUUUAAAGUGGUACGCGAGCUGGGUUUAGAACGUCGUGAGACAGUUCGGUCCCUAUCUGCCGUGGGCGCUGGAGAACUGAGGGGGGCUGCUCCUAGUACGAGAGGACCGGAGUGGACGCAUCACUGGUGUUCGGGUUGUCAUGCCAAUGGCACUGCCCGGUAGCUAAAUGCGGAAGAGAUAAGUGCUGAAAGCAUCUAAGCACGAAACUUGCCCCGAGAUGAGUUCUCCCUGAGACUUUAGGUCUCCUGAAGGAACGUUGAAGACGACGACGUUGAUAGGCCGGGUGUGUAAGCGCAGCGAUGCGUUGAGCUAACCGGUACUAAUGAACCGUGAGGCUUAACCUUACAACGCCGAAG